RNAcentral lists this unclassified non-coding RNA (1546 nucleotides) under uncultured fungus. Its description in RNAcentral is "sequence contains 18S rRNA gene, ITS1, 5.8S rRNA gene, ITS2, 28S rRNA gene". The stretch from base 444 to 1546 matches the Rfam family "Eukaryotic large subunit ribosomal RNA", at positions 1 to 961 of the family's 3401-position model. The record is from RNAcentral. Lineage: Eukaryota; Fungi.
GGAAGGAUCAUUAACACUGAUGUCGGCUCCGGCCGGCGCACCCCUAAACAACUUGUGAAUUUCAUGACCGUUUGUCAUUUUUAACAAUCAAAAAUACAAACCUAACGAAAAAACAAUAACCAAUAUACAACUCUUAGCAAUGGAUAUCUUGGUUCCCACAACGAUGAAGAACGCAGCGAAAUGCGAUACGUAAUGCGAAUUGCAGAAUUCAGUGAAUCAUCAAAUCUUUGAACGCAAGUUGCGCUUUCGAGAUAUCCUUGAAAGCAUGCCUCUUUGAGUAUCGGUUUCCAAAUUCGAGUUUUUCGCAAGAGAAACACCGAGUGAAUGAGUUUGCCGCGAGUCAAAUCACGGCUGGCUCGAAAUGCAAUCGGCUGCAAUUCAAACUGCCCUCGUACUUUUCGACACACAAGUCGAGAGCAGGCGGCCAACAAACCUUUACAACAAGAUCUCAAAUGAGGUAAGACUACCCGCUGAAUUUAAGCAUAUAAUUAAGCGGAGGAAAAGAAACUAACAAGGAUUCCCUCAGUAACGGCGAGUGAAGCGGGAAGAGCUCAAACCGAAAAUCUCUGUCGCAAGACAGCGAAUUGUGGUCUAUUGAAGCGUGUCUCAGUGUGCAGUCCCGGCCUAAGUCGAUUGGAACAUCGCAUCAGAGAGGGUGAGAAUCCCGUUCUUGGCUGGGUGUCUGCCGCGUUCGAGCCGUUCUCAAAGAGUCGGGUUGCUUGGGAGUGCAGCCCUAAGUGGGUGGUAAAUUUCAUCUAAAGCUAAAUACAUGUGGGAGACCGAUAGCGAACAAGUACCGUGAGGGAAAGAUGAAAAGAACUUUGAAAAGAGAGUUAAAAAGUACUUGAAAUUGCUGAGAACGAAGGGAUGGCGACUAGUAAUGACUCGGGCGAUCCUCGGGUCGCUGUCGAUCCGGCGCGCUGUGAUUGCCUGGCUUCACGUGUGUCGGGGGUCGGCGGCGGUCCGGGAUCCGAUCGUUCGGGUCUAGGUCAGAAUGGAUUCGCAGCGGUUGAAACUGGCGGCGGGAAGGUAACUUGGAAAUCAACCUCCUCGAACUUAUAGCCCGCCGUUGAGAGACUGUUGCGGAUCGAGGUGCUGAAGCGCGCGCUCUAAGCUCUUGACGCGACGCCCGCUGUUAGACUCGCCGCCGUUGGGGAACAAAGUUCCGUUUCGGUCGGCAGUCUGCACUCGGUCGUCGCUCAUUUGUCGCGCUCGGGAUUCUGACGAAAUGGUCGUCAUUCACCCGUCUUGAAACACGGACCAAGGAGUCUUACAUAUAUGCGAGUAAUCGAGUGGAAAACUCGCUUGCGCAAUGAAGGUGAUUGAAUGUGAUCCCGCUUGCCGGGAGCAACAUCGGGCGGCUAAGAUAACUGUACGACCAUGAGCAUAUCUGUAGGGACCCGAAAGAUGGUGAACUAUGCUUGAGCAGGAUGAAGCCAGGGGAAACUCUGGUGGAAGUCCGAAGCGAUACUGACGUGCAAAUCGUUCGUCUGACUUGAGUAUAGGGGCGAAAGACUAAUCGAACUAUCUAGUAGCUGGUUCCCUC